ACCCAAAAGAUAAGAAUGAUGUUCUUAGCUUGUCAUGGAUGAAUUUAGCUAUGGAGUCGCUUUGUGGAACUCAUAAUGACAUAAAAACUCUUAUAGCUGAGAUGGAUCUUCCUGUGAGUGCCUGGGAUGAGAAGUGGAUUGACGUGUACUUGGACAUCAGUGUAAAGUUGCUUGAUAUAUGCAUUGUCUUCAGCUCUGAGAUCUCGCGCUUAAACCAGGGACAUCUUUUCCUUCAGUUUGUGUUGCAUAAUUUGAAAUCAGCCUCUUCACAGCAAUUUAUUCGUGCCCGUU
RNAcentral lists this long non-coding RNA (291 nucleotides) under Fragaria vesca (wild strawberry). RNAcentral describes it as "long non-coding RNA (FVES_LNC003561)". The record is from RNAcentral. Lineage: Eukaryota; Viridiplantae; Streptophyta; Magnoliopsida; Rosales; Rosaceae.